RNAcentral lists this non-coding RNA (89 nucleotides) under Heterosigma akashiwo. The record is from RNAcentral. Lineage: Eukaryota; Raphidophyceae; Chattonellales; Chattonellaceae.
CUCAGGAUAAGCUGUGUCCCAACUGUUCCUCUCUACAGAUCGCAGGGCACACCUGCAAGGUCAGAGUACGAUCAAGGAACGGGAAAUCC